UAGGGAAUAUUGGACAAUGGGGGCAACCCUGAUCCAGCCAUGCCGCGUGAGUGAAGAAGGCCCUCGGGUUGUAAAGCUCUUUUGUCCGGAAAGAAAAGCAUUCGGUGAAUACCCGGAUGUUCUGACGGUACCGGAAGAAUAAGCACCGGCUAACUACGUGCCAGCAGCCGCGGUAAUACGUAGGGUGCGAGCGUUAAUCGGAAUUACUGGGCGUAAAGCGUGCGCAGGCGGUUUUGUAAGACAGAGGUGAAAUCCCCGGGCUCAACCUGGGAACUGCCUUUGUGACUGCAAGGCUGGAGUGCGGCAGAGGGAGAUGCAAUUCCGCGUGUAGCAGUGAAAUGCGUAGAUAUGCGGAGGAACACCGAUGGCGAAGGCAAUCCCCUGGGCCUGCACUGACGCUCAUGCACGAAAGCGUGGGGAGCAAACA
RNAcentral lists this ribosomal RNA (427 nucleotides) under uncultured bacterium. RNAcentral's name for it is "bacterial SSU rRNA". It matches the Rfam family "Bacterial small subunit ribosomal RNA", at positions 355 to 774 of the family's 1533-position model. The record is from RNAcentral.